RNAcentral lists this ribosomal RNA (253 nucleotides) under uncultured bacterium. Its description in RNAcentral is "partial 16S ribosomal RNA". It matches the Rfam family "Bacterial small subunit ribosomal RNA", at positions 524 to 776 of the family's 1533-position model. The record is from RNAcentral.
UACAGAGGUGGCAAGCGUUGUUCGGAAUUACCGGGCGUAAAGGGCGCGUAGGCGGCAUUCUAAGUCAGACGUGAAAUCCCCCGGCUUAACCUGGGAACUGCGUCUGAUACUGGGAAGCUAGAGUAUGGGAGAGGGAUGCAGAAUUCCAGGUGUAGCGGUGAAAUGCGUAGAUAUCUGGAGGAAUACCGGUGGCGAAGGCGGCAUCCUGGACCAUAACUGACGCUGAUCCGCGAAAGCUAGGGGAGCAAACGGG